RNAcentral lists this ribosomal RNA (253 nucleotides) under uncultured bacterium. RNAcentral's name for it is "partial 16S ribosomal RNA". It matches the Rfam family "Bacterial small subunit ribosomal RNA", at positions 524 to 776 of the family's 1533-position model. The record is from RNAcentral.
UACGAAGGGUGCAAGCGUUACUCGGAAUUACUGGGCGUAAAGCGUGAGUAGGUGGUUUCUUAAGUCUGCUGUGAAAGCCCCGGGCUCAACCUGGGAAUUGCAGUGGAUACUGGGAAGCUAGAGUGCGGUAGAGGGUAGUGGAAUUCCCGGUGUAGCGGUGAAAUGCGUAGAGAUCGGGAGGGACACCAGUGGCGAAGGCGGCUACCUGGACCAGCACUGACACUGAGUCACGAAAGCGUGGGGAGCAAACAGG